This 468-nucleotide ribosomal RNA is filed under the name uncultured bacterium. RNAcentral describes it as "partial 16S ribosomal RNA". It matches the Rfam family "Bacterial small subunit ribosomal RNA", at positions 28 to 507 of the family's 1533-position model. The record is from RNAcentral.
GACGAACGCUGGCGGCGUGCUUAACACAUGCAAGUCGAACGGAAAGGCCCUGCUUUUGUUGGUUGCUCGAGUGGCGAACGGGUGAGUAACACGAGAGUAACCCGCCCUUUACUUCGGGAUAACUUCAUGCAACUGGGGCUAAUACCUGAUAGGAUCUCCUGCUGCAUGGUGGGCGUUGGACAGAUUCGGCGGUUGGGGCUGGUCUCGAGGCUUAUCCGCUUGUUUGUGGGGUAGUGGCUUACCAAGGCUUUGACGGGUAGCCGGCCUGAGCGGGUGACCGGCCACAUUGGGACUGAGAUACGGCCCAGACUACUAUGGGAGGCAGCAGUGGGGAAUCUUCCACAAUGGGCGGAAGCGUGAGGCAGCAACGCCGCGAGCGGAAUGCCAGGCUUCGGGUAGUAAACCACUUUCGACUGUGACGAGGCCUGCGUGACGGUAAUGAGUAAAGAAGCACCGGCUAACUACGUG